UAAGGGUCUCCGAAACAGAUGAAAUCGAUGGUUGUACCCAAAGAGACGAUUUGGAAAAAUAAAGAAAACAAAAACAGUGGGGAAAGAGAAGAAAAAUCAGCUAAAGAGACAAAAGAUGGAGAUAAGAAAAGCAAAGAAAAGAAAAACUAGCAAAGGAUGGAGUUAGACGUCGGUUACAAAAAAAGACUUUUGGGGAAACUGAUUCGCUCAAUCUCACUACCCACAUUAUCUCAACCGCCCACUAUUCAGUUAUCAAUUAUAACUCAAACUCUCAGUCACUAAGCCGAGCAAAAA
Molecule: long non-coding RNA, 294 nt
Filed under: Gossypium raimondii (Peruvian cotton)
Lineage: Eukaryota; Viridiplantae; Streptophyta; Magnoliopsida; Malvales; Malvaceae
Description: long non-coding RNA (GRAI_LNC005532)
Source: RNAcentral